AAAAAAAAGAAAAAAUGAUAAUCCCCGUGGGAAGCCUAUCCCGUCCCACUUUGCACCUUCGCUAGGAAGUUCUUGCCUCGACCCCAAUCCUCUGUGGGGCGGGGAGGGAGGGAGGAAUCCGGCCCUAAUUAACCCUGUUGCCAUCCCUAAUUGCUAACUUGAAACCUAAAACUAAAGGAAUAUGCAAGACAUGGGUUAGUAUUGAUAGGCAAACAAAUGGUUUAUAGCUUUUGAGCACGAAGGAUUGUCUGAUGCUGUUCCUUUCUAUGCUUCCAUAGCAAGAGUGUAGAAUUUCGGAUUCUUAUUGGGGUUCAAAUAGAUGUUACAUUUUGUUUUCACUGUUAAUUCUUCCUCCUGACUUAUCUUGGACUGCACAAUUUUGUAUUGAUUUUUAUUGCAGAAUGGGGGCAAGAUGGUCUGCAAAGUUCAUGCAGAUCUACUUAUAUUGUAUAAUAAUAAAUUGAAAUAAAAAAAUAAAAGAAAAAAUGAUAAUCCCGUGGGAAGCCUGUCCUGUCCCACUCCGCACCCCGGCUUGGAAGUUCUUGCCUCAAUCCCAAUUCUAUGUGGAGUGGGGAGGGGGGGAGCGAUCCAGCCCC
This 596-nucleotide unclassified non-coding RNA is filed under the name Hevea brasiliensis (rubber tree). Lineage: Eukaryota; Viridiplantae; Streptophyta; Magnoliopsida; Malpighiales; Euphorbiaceae. The record is from RNAcentral.